AGAUAUUAGGAGGAACACCAGUGGCGAAGGCGGCUUUCUGGACUGUAACUGACACUGUAAGCAGAGAAGCGUGGGUAACCAAACCGGAUUAGAUACCCUGGUAGUGUCACGCCGUAAACGAUGGGUACUAGGUGUAGGAGGUAUCGACCCCUUCUGUGCCGUCGGUAACACAAU
This 174-nucleotide ribosomal RNA is filed under the name uncultured Clostridium sp. RNAcentral's name for it is "partial 16S ribosomal RNA". It matches the Rfam family "Bacterial small subunit ribosomal RNA", at positions 692 to 861 of the family's 1533-position model. Lineage: Bacteria; Bacillati; Bacillota; Clostridia; Eubacteriales; Clostridiaceae. The record is from RNAcentral.